This is a long non-coding RNA of Drosophila pseudoobscura, 1565 nucleotides long. RefSeq lists it as uncharacterized. Lineage: Eukaryota; Metazoa; Arthropoda; Insecta; Diptera; Drosophilidae. The transcript is spliced from 2 exons. The record is from RefSeq and is a predicted model, not a curated record.
CAUAAUCCUGAAAUAUAAAGAAAGAGAAGUAAUAUUUAAGUUCAAUCUAUAUUAGAGUAAAUUUUUAUUUGUCCAAUAUCAGUUAAAUGUUCGUGAAGGUCAAAGUUUUCAGCCAGGCAGGCUCCGGUUUUCAUUUACUUUUGCGUUUUCAGCCCAAACGUUCCCUUUUCAUUGUUAGGUGGAAAAAUUGUUCCCAAUUUUUUGUCAAAAUGUAGUGCGGAUGGCACAAUUCAGUGUAGUUCGCGGAAGAAAGGCUUAGGCUUAACAUCCGAAGUAUCGAUACCAAAAUCGCGCUGCGUCAGCUUUUUGCGCGAAAACGCAAGUUGUUGUUGCUCUGACCAAUUAUUUCAAAGCAAAAUUUGAAGUUUAGAGUUUGUACCUGUGAGAUAAACGCACGUAAGGGGCUUACCACGUAGGGGUAUGUGUGAUUAAUGUUGUUAAACUGAUCCCAUACAAUAUAUUAAGAAAGGGAUGAUUUCGCUUUCGGAAAUACUGACAGGCAUAAAAAAUAACGUCGAAUAGCCAUUUGCCUUUUGAAAAAUUCUAUGGUAACAUAAUUCCGUUGACUUAAGCUUCAAAAAAGACACCCUGUUUUGCUAACUGGUCAUAUUGGAAAAUCGUUAGCAGCGACCAACGUCUCUAGCGGGAAGAUGACCGAAAAGAGAAGCGCAUGCCAACAGCUAUGUGCACCGAAUAUGCAGGCGAGGCCGGUCUAUAUAUGUAUGGAUAACUUAUGUGGUCGAUGACACUGGUGAUGGAAAAAUUGGAGAGAUGUCAGAGGAAGCCCAGGAAGCGAGAAACAAAGAUUAAAAAAAUACAGGAAUAUGAAAACGUGCGUCUUGCAGAAACAAAAAAAUCCAACCAACUUUCAGAAAAAAAAUGUUGUUAUUUAAGUUUUUUAUAAUUUAGGUUUAGUUUAAAAUGAAAUAAAUAGUAAAAUAAAGUACUUUAUCGAUACAAAAAUUAAUACAAAUUGAGAAUUUUAUAUAGGAAAAUAUGCACCGGUAACACGGUUAAACUUUAACACAUUAUUGUGAAGCUUUUAUACAUUGUAGCAUAAUUUACUUAAGCAGAUACAAUUUUUCUUUAAAAUUCAGUUUGUUUCAUGAAGUUGUCUUUAUUCGUUCAUAAGUUAUUUAUUUAUCAAGCUGAAAAGGCCGAAUGUCCACUGUACCAUUUCCCCUUCCUUUCAGUAAUGUUUAUACUAGUAGGUAUAUGUAGAUAUAUAUAACUGGAGUUAUUUUGUUGAGAAUAAUAUAAAUAAUAAUACAAACUUUAUUUAUUUAUAAUACAAUUUCUAACUUACUUUUUGACUUCUUUUCGAGCUCUCAUCGGUAUCUUGAGGACUACAAAACCAUUCGGUACUAGCUGCCAUCAAAUCUUCAACCUUUGGUCUAAAGCACUUGCACCAAAAUACAAAUGGUAUACAUAUAAAGAAGAAACAGUUUACUAUAAAAAUUCUUGUUUUAGAAGUGCAUUCAAAAAUAAUUCCCGGCUGAAUGGUAUUAAAUCCGAAUUGAUUUAUUGAUUGAACACAUAAGCCGAAAAUACCUUUUAAAAAGCCU